UACGUAGGGAGCAAGCGUUGUCCGGAAUCAUUGGGCGUAAAGCGCGCGUAGGUGGCCUCAUAAGUCCGCUGUGAAAGUCAAAGGCUCAACCUUUGAAAGCCGGUGGAUACUGUGAGGCUAGAGUACGGAAGAGGCGAGUGGAAUUCCUGGUGUAGCGGUGGAAUGCGUAGAGAUCCGGAAGAACACCGGUGGCGAAGGCGGUCUGCUGGGCAGUUGCUGACGCUGAUGCGCGACAGCGUGGGGAGCAAACAGG
This 253-nucleotide ribosomal RNA is filed under the name uncultured bacterium. RNAcentral describes it as "partial 16S ribosomal RNA". It matches the Rfam family "Bacterial small subunit ribosomal RNA", at positions 524 to 776 of the family's 1533-position model. The record is from RNAcentral.